Long non-coding RNA from Rhododendron vialii, 1398 nucleotides. RefSeq lists it as uncharacterized. The transcript is spliced from 3 exons. Lineage: Eukaryota; Viridiplantae; Streptophyta; Magnoliopsida; Ericales; Ericaceae. The record is from RefSeq and is a predicted model, not a curated record.
UUGCGUUCUGUGUGCGUAAAGUGCUGGAAGGGGUGCUCAUGUUAACCUAAAAUGUGCAGAACGAGCUCGUAUUACUGUAAAUAAUAUUCCAGGUAUCCUUCUCCUUCUGUGAGCUUCUGUAAUGAUUUAUCCUUUUGCCUAAGCAGGCAUCAUGGUUUGGAGCUAAGAAGGUAUCCCUUGAGAUUUCUAACAUUGCCAACAAUGUCUUCAAAAUUGCGUCCCUUGAGAGUUCUACCAUUGCCAACAAUGUCUUCAAAACGUGAGACAUAAAUUAUGUAAAUUUUGCUUAGAACUUGAAUUUGGUGGGGGGUAGGGGAAAAGGAAAAGCAAAAGGAGAGGAAUGUUGAAAUGUGAAGGAAAACCGUUUUCUUUGUUUUUUUUGGGUUUUCUUUCAAUGUUCUAAAUCUCUUAUCGGAAACAACUAUUGUUAGGGUGUUACUUUUAAUGAGUUUAACGUGCUCUAUUAGCUUCAUCAAGGCUUGUAGUUUGUGUUCUAUUUCGCUUCACCUUGCUUCACCUUUUAUCUCAUUUGCCUGUUGAAUUUAGGCACGUCUCCCCUUUUGCAAGUUCAUGGUAUAGGUCAAACCCGCAUUUUCUCAUCUAAAUUGGACAUCCUCAUUCGAUGUCUCUUUUAUCUUUCCCUUUCCCAUCAUAAUUGAGUUGCUUCUCUUUUGCUAAUCUUUUAUGGUGGCUCAGCUCUAUAUUAUGUGGUGUGGUUCCACUAGAUGCUCAUUUGUUGUCUUUCUUAUUUAACGAGAAAAAUGGUGGAGAGGAUGGGUGAGGCAAGCCAAGGAUAAUAAAAGGAAGAAAACCUAGGGUUAAAAUCAGGUUCUGAGGACGGACUUGUUUAUUGGCGAGGCAACUCGUUGCAGCCAUGACAGAGUCAAGGUCCUUGGCUUGAUUCAAGUAGAUCUCAGCCUCACCCUGUAUUUCAUACACCCACAUGCACCUAUGAAUCCGCCUAUCCGUUCACUUAUGGACAUAUUGCUUCUUCUUUUUUUGUGGAGUUUUAAUGAAUCCCUAUACACAUUGAUACUCCUAUGUUUUUGGGCUGUUUUUAUUAUUAUUUAUUAUGUUUCUGUUUGAAUUUUUGUUGGGGCUCUGAUUUUCUAUGGGGUUUUAUUCCUGUCUUAUUUUGGGUUUUUGGCUUGUUUAGCACUGGGUCUCGCCUUGUGAUACUCUUGCGUUGACAGCUACAUGAUUCCUGAUUAUUUUCUGGUUUCUUAAUUUAUUUUUGUGGGGCUGUUUUUUUGUGUUUGGUAGGUGGAGCUCCAGCAAUAGGUGAGGCAUUUUUUAUGAUCUAAGGGAAGGGAUUUCUUCUCUGUAAUCAUCACUCUCCCUGUGUUUCAAAUGGAUUGUGCUGUAACCCAACAGGAAUUUGAGUUUGUUUGCAUCUUG